AGCUUUAUAGUCAAUAAUGAUAUUAGACUGCAAUUCUAAAGGAGUAAAAAAUUAAUUACUAAGGCUU
Molecule: transfer RNA, 67 nt
Filed under: Haematobosca stimulans
Lineage: Eukaryota; Metazoa; Arthropoda; Insecta; Diptera; Muscidae
Description: tRNA-Cys
Source: RNAcentral